Molecule: ribosomal RNA, 253 nt
Filed under: uncultured bacterium
Lineage: Bacteria
Description: partial 16S ribosomal RNA
Rfam family: Bacterial small subunit ribosomal RNA
Source: RNAcentral
UACGUAGGGGGCAAGCGUUAUCCGGAUUCAUUGGGCGUAAAGAGCGCGUAGGCGGAUUGUUAAGCGCGAUGUGAAAACUGGGGGCUCAACCCGCAGCUUGCAUCGCGAACUGGCAGUCUUGAGUCUGGUAGAGGAGUGUGGAAUUCCCAGUGUAGCGGUGAAAUGCGCAGAUAUUGGGAGGAACACCAGUGGCGAAGGCGGCACUCUGGGCCACGACUGACGCUGAGGCGCGAAAGCUAGGGGAGCGAACAGG